Molecule: ribosomal RNA, 167 nt
Filed under: Krameria revoluta
Lineage: Eukaryota; Viridiplantae; Streptophyta; Magnoliopsida; Zygophyllales; Krameriaceae
Description: 5.8S ribosomal RNA
Rfam family: 5.8S ribosomal RNA
About the family: 5.8S ribosomal RNA (5.8S rRNA) is a component of the large subunit of the eukaryotic ribosome. It is transcribed by RNA polymerase I as part of the 45S precursor that also contains 18S and 28S rRNA.
Source: RNAcentral
ACAAGAACGACUCUCGACAACGGAUAUCUCGGCUCUCGCAUCGAUGAAGAACGUAGCGAAAUGCGAUACUUGGUGUGAAUUGCAGAAUCCCGUGAACCAUCGAGUCUUUGAACGCAAGUUGCGCCCGAAGCCGUUAGGUUGAGGGCACGUCUGCCUGAGUGUCACAC